Long non-coding RNA from Gallus gallus (chicken), 12936 nucleotides. RefSeq lists it as uncharacterized. The transcript has 4 exons. NCBI's taxonomy places the organism in Eukaryota, Metazoa, Chordata, Aves, Galliformes, Phasianidae. The record is from RefSeq and is a predicted model, not a curated record.
GCGGCUCAAAAUGGAGGCGGCCGGCCCGGUGGGGCAGCGGCGGGGGCAGGGAUGCCACGAGCGGUCUCGCUGCGGGACGCCCCGCCGGGUGGCGGGAUGCUGGCCACGCCGCUCUCGGAGCGCGGUGGUGCGGAGCCGUGCGUCCGGACACCCGCACAGGUGCCCGUCCUACACUUAACCUCUCUGCCCGGUCCUCCGAGCGCGGCCGGAGCUGCCCCGCGGGCGGGGCGCUGCCGCUCCGUGAGGGGCCGAAGGGCCGAUCAUCCUCGGAGCCGGGACGAGGAUCGAUGCGCCGCCCGCUUAGGCGUGACUGAGGAGGAGAUGCGGCCAGGGGAGAAGGGGAAAUUUUCCACUGUCGUCACUGCUCGGCACGGUGACUGCCGUGCCAGACCUGCAGGGCAGAGCAGGCUGCUCUGGGAUGGGAGCGGGGCCGUGAAUCCUGAGGGCCAGCUCCUUUAGGAAGGACCUGAAGAAGCAGCAGCAGCAGCGUUGGUCGCACACGAAGCCCAGCAACGAUCCCUCUGACCCCCCUGCACAUCAGUGGAGCUGUGGCUGUCCCCUCCCGCAGCCCCCACAGGAAGCCCUGCAUCCAACCCACAGCGUCCAGCCCUGACGGCACAUCGGGUUCUGGAAACUACAUCGGGGAGGAGGUUAGGUCAGCACGAGUUGGAUCUGGGCUCAGGGCCCGGAAACCCAGCCCGAGGUGAGCCUGACUGGGGAGCUAAGACCAAGGAUGAUCCUUUGUGCUUAUGCGGUUGAGAGACCGCUUUGGGAAUCGACCCAAGGCUGUGGGGUCUGCCUGCUCCUGCAGAUCUCUGUGGGGGUGAGGAGCUGCAAAGGGCACGAUCUGCUGGGACCCGUUCAGGCGGCCGUGAUGCAUGCACAUGGCUGCACUCAGACUGUCUGACCUGAGGGCCUGGUCCAGGCUCAUCCCCGUGAAGACGAAGAACUUCAGAUAUUCCCCUGCCACCAUCUUGCUGAACUCGUUGCUGAAAGAAAAAGUGGGGAGCGAGAGUGGGAUCGACCAGGCUGGGGGGACAUCAAAAUGCAGACAGGGAUGGGAUGGAUUCUGGUGGGCUGGAUACCUCCCAGGAGACAUGAUGGCAGGGCUGUGGGAAGCAUGCUGGAGACAGAGGCACCCCAGCAUCCCAUGAAACUCAGAGGCGUCACCCACAGAUCCAGUGGGAAUACUCAGUAUGUCAGCUAGCGGGUUCCCUGUUCUCUGACACCUUGCUGAAGGUGCCUGAGAUGCAGAGCAAGUAGGAAGGUACCAAAACCUGGAUGUUGCCUUUAGAGGAACACCUGGUAUAGACAAGCUGUCACAGGGACAGGUCUCUGGGGUCCUGCCAGUGGUUCCCUGACAGCCCAGUGCCCAGAAGGGAAGCAGCUGUGGGUACGCUGGGGUUGCUGCAGGGAGGAAUGAUGCAGGAUGGGCCAUUCCUUGUGAAUACCCACACGUACUUCUUCCCCAAGUGGCGGGCUACAUCUGCUUUUUUAAAGCCAUCCAGGUUGUAGAGCCGCUUGGCCAGGCGUUUGGCAGCCUCCAGAUCAGCCUUGUGCCCAUUGGAGAGCGUGUCGGUGCUGCCCAGGGCCAGUUGCUCCAUGCUGUCCAUCUCCGAGUCCGAGUCAGAAACCAGCUGGCUCAGGGGGUGCUCGCUGCAACUGGAAGGGACACACCGCGUUAGUUUGCCCACAGGUCCCCUGCUUGCUCAGCCUCUCAGGGGAUGCAGGUCCUCACCCUGCUUCGGGGGCCAGCAGCUCUGCUGGGCCAUACUGGUUAGAGGUGCUCAGGGGUCAGGGCUAAGUGCUAAGGGAAGGCUUGGAGAUGUGGCUGGAAGAGAGGUAGGUGACGGGACCGAGGCUCUCAAAGCCACGUCCGAACCGGCCCUGCUCAGACAGGACAGCUGUUGGGAAGUCCCCCACCCUGAGCCUGCGAGACUUCGUGUGCGGGCUCGGGCUCUGCCAAGGCCGGCUGCAGCAGGACGUGGAGCGGAAACGUGCACACGCUGUACUCUGUAUCGGUACGCCUGUUUUAACCCAGGCAAGCUCCUCGUGCUGCUCUCGAGUGCAGUGUCUACCCAAAACAAGAAGACCGUCAUUCCCGCACUUGGCUUUUCCCAUCCAUAAACUUCAAAGCACUUCACAGAGGGAAGAAGCAAGGCACGGAGUGCGAAGAUGAAGGAGAACCCCCCCGGCCUCCAGCACAGCAUGGCGUGCUGGGGCUGCCCGUCAGCUCUCAGCCCCGCUGCCUUACAUGGCCAUGCUGGGAGCGCGCUCUUGGCUGCUUCUAGCACUCUGACUCAGCCGCACACAAAUUAUCCCAACAAAAAGUAAGUUGAAUCUAAUCAACAACGAACGUUAAGCAAUUCUGACCUCGCCCAAAUUUUCUGGCAGAGCUCGCACUGUUCCAAUCUGAUUUAUUUUUAAGUCUCUAAUUGACUUUUAAGAAGGCCUCCUCUCCUGAGCCAAUUACCCAGGCCGAUCUCCAGAGGCUCCACUCCUCACACUAAGGACAAAGCUGCUCCUCACUGCCUUUGGGCUGCAGGUCGUGCUGUCCCAGAGGAGCCCCGUGCAGCAGAGACAGGCUGCCCCGCGCCUCAGGGAGCUCCUGGCAUCCCAGCAGGAUGGGGAAGUGUCUGGCUGGAUGUGUCUGUGGCGGACACGGUGCUGGCACCAUGUGAGUCCCAGGGGAGAUGCACGGGGCUUGGGCCACUGCAGGGCCCAGCAGCUCUGGGCAGUGGCUGCUGGAACAGAGCCACUGUGCCCUCAGCCAGGACAGCACUACCUCUUUUCAGGAGCAGGAGGUUAAUCCAGUCACACCUGCAGAUCAUGGCUGGGAAAACUCAGUGUGCAAUCAUGGGAGCACAGCACUCUCCCAGCACAGCCCAGCAGGUCCAAGGUUGCCUUUCUGGCCACGGACUGAGCUACAAAACCCAAAGUCCAUCGCUCCCUGCAAAGCAAGCAGCUGCCCAGCCAUCCUCUGAAGACCUUUUCAUUCUUCUCAACCAACAUCGCUGAAAUCUCCCCAUACCCUUCUGGGCCUUCAUGCACUCACUGAAAGGCUGUCCUCCCUGCCACAGCUGCUGCAUGGCACCUCCUGCAGUGAACCCAGAAUUCAGAGUCUCCUCUACGACCUCUUCCCAAUCUGCAUACAGCUUUCCCAUCUAGUGCCAAGCUCCAGCUGUGGGGUCACCUACAAAACCUCCUUGACCUUCCAUACCUCUAUCUCACAGAAGGUUCCCAACCUGUGGCUGUGGCUCUUUCCUGGCUUCUUGAAACUAGCAUGCAGGGACUGCCGUCUGUUUCCUAAAGUCACUCUACCUGCAGGAUCUGCCAUCCCGUCCCUUACCGAGCCCCACUUCUGACUUUGGUCUUUAUAUCAGCAGAACACGUCCUUACAGUCAGGACAAGGCAGCUGUAUGAGCAAUGCCAGGCUUGCAGCCACGCCACGAGGUGGGCUUUCGCCCUGUGCUCAAGCCACUGUCAUGAUGCUACACGAGGACCACCAGUGUGGGCAGUUUGGCUGUGCCCCACUGAUGGCAGCCUUCUACCCCAGUUGGUUGGAGAACGCCCAUCCUGCAGGGAGAAAAGCAGGAACCCAACCCUCAAGCAAACAGCAAGCAGAGCAAAGAGCAUACAUCCACGUCUGAGGCAACCGAGGUGACGCUGAUUUUCUUGCCAAUGACCUAAUGUCUCAGGGGAUUUUUUAGUGUACUUCCUAAGUGACAUUUCAGUUUGGCUUGAAGAAACACGGAGAUAAUAAUUUUACUUUAGAUGUAUUUCCAACUCGAGAACCAGUCUGCACUUAAGGAAUAAUGAUCAAAUUUGGUAUUGUAUGAGCAUCUCCAGCGUGCCUGGCAUGAGUCACCAUGGAGCGGGCCCAGGGCAAGAGCAGCCCUGCCAGCACAGCACAGCCACCAGCACCCACAGCGCCUGCAGCACAGCCCUGAUCCUGAUGGGCGCCCGCUUGGUGGGAGGCAAGGGCCCCACAGCUGCUGCCAGGGCCUCAAGGCAGGGUCCGGCAGAAAUAAAGUGCUUCAAGAGCAGUUCUGCAAUGAAAGAACUGAAGAUAGUCCACAUGUGGGGUUUACAUGCCUCACUCCUUGGUCCCAAAUACUCCUUAACAAAACCAUUUCUCUUCUGACCCCCAAAUAUUCCAGCUCCGGGCCCUUAUUACUCUUUUACCAGUCACAAAUACAUCUCUGGGCCCAAAUUCUCCUCCACGUGUGCAUGAGCCAUGCUUCUCUGUGCCCACACCCUCCUGCCCAGGGCCCUACUCCUUCCCUGCCUCUAGCUUUUCCCUCUCUGAGCCCCAUACUUCCUUCUCAAAGCCAAACACACUUCUCCUGGAUCUGAACACUCACUGUUUCACCUCGAUAUCCCUUCUCUGGCUGAGAGCUCAGAGCACUGCAGGAAGAACUGGAGCACCUUCCUGCACUGCAAUGCAGCGUGUUGCUGCAGGAGCUCCAACCUCCACCUUGCCACAAGGAGCUUGCCUAGCACCGUGGGGCAACAACAAGCUGUCAGCCCAGCAGAGCCUGCCCUAAGGGUGCCCACCAGCCCUCACUGCCAGCGGGGAUGUAUGUGCGCGGGGGAACCCUGCUCCUUGAGACUACUCAGCCAGGUGCCCAUUGGACCCAGCCAGGGGCAUUCUGUUGAGCCCCCAUGUUACCCAGAUCCCAUUGCCACGUGAGACACCUGCUGCAAGCAAUUCAGAAAUGCCUACCACAAACCACUUGUUCCCUAAAAAGGGCCAUGGCAGACCUGGAUUAAUUCCUGCAGCAUGGAUGGGGCAGGGAGCCCGGACCGAGGCAGCGAGGUGCACGGGGCAGCCCAGCACUGCCUCGUGGUUCUGGUGCCCCACACGUGAGGCUCUGUGCCCGGUGCCUCCGCCCAGCACACCCAGCCUGCCUAAUAUUGCUGCUAAGAAUGUACCAGUCCGGAUCUUCGGCUGAGCUAAAUAAAUGCGGCUCCCUCCACUGGUCUCAGUGGAGUGACUUUGAUUUACGACAGCUGAGAUCUGGGCUGGUUCAUUCCUUGCAAAAUUGAAGUUGGGCUGGGAGGACACUUGAAGGUCAGCCAGGCCGGCCUCCAAGCGUGGGCAGAACUGGUGCUGCUGUCCUCGUCCAGCAGCUGCGCCCAGCCGGCUCCCAGAUCGUCCGGCAGCCCCGCCGACAUCGCUGCGCCCACAGACAGGGUCACUGGGACAGGCUGAGGGGACCCGGUGGGGAGGGCUCACCGCGUUGGCAGCUGGGCGUGCUUCCUGCCUGCAAGGUCAAGAUUGAAGUGUGGUCCCAGAACGUUGCGUGCUGAGGGAUGCCAGAGCCUUGGUCUGGGCCGUGAGGGUGCAGGAGCUGAGGCUGCCUGGCCUCGCAAGGAGCUGCGCACCACCACUGCCACCACAGGAGCUGGGAGUCACAGCUUGCAGAGCCCUUCCCCAGCACAGACCCCAGCCUGGCACCAAGUACCCCCACAGCCCCUUCCGUGCCCCUGUGGUGCUGCUGCUGCAGCAGGAGGCAUCCUGUGAGCAGUGAGGUAAGCACUGUCCCUUCGGUGUCUCUGGAGCCAUCUUGGUCCUAUGCCUUGACAGAGGAAUAGGAAGCUGAGUCUGCCUUCAGCAAACAACCAUCCAUGGCUAGAUCCUGCUACCCUCAGCUGCUUGGUACCACUUGGACACAACCAGUUUUAUGCAGAAACCUUGCGUGGCCUCUGUACCACUGUGCUCCUGCCCUCAGUGUCCCAAAAAAAGAGAAGCCCAGCCCAGAGCUCAGCUCUUUUCCCCCAGAAUGCCUCCAGGAUGAUCCUGGAGUGAUGACCCACCACACAGCAGAUGCAGUGUCCCACCCUUCUCUCUUGACUACAGGCACCAGAGGUGACAGAAAGCAAAGAUCCCCACAUGCCCAUCCCAAGCUAAGCCUAUCAGGAUAACACAGGCUGCAGCCAGAAGUAAUACAGGUUUGGUUGGACACUCAAGAGAAAGCCAAGCUGCUUUUCCCUUCCCAUGGCCCACUGGAGAAGCCUGGAAGCGUUCAGGACCCUCUGGCAUUGCACAAGACGUCAUUGGGCAAGAGGAGAUCUUGUGGGGAGGCAACCUAAGCAGGAAGCUCAGCACUGGUGUGACCGACACGCCAAAUUCCCUGAGAGCCAUCAGCUCCCGACUUGGGCCACUGGGAUGGAUGUGGCAUCUGGACUGGACUUGAUCAUGCUCCAGGUGAGCACACCCCAGAAAAAGGAAAAUCUGCCCGCCAACUGGCUGAACCCUAAGUGCCUCAUCCCAAGACCUUGCUGGGAGAGGGAAGAGUACAAGAAAGGCAGUGUAUCAGCCUAGACGUGGUCUCACAUAUAGCCAGGACGGAAGAGGUGGGGCUGAGCAUCCUGGCCCGCUUUCCUGCUCCCCAGCAGCACUGGUUAGGCUGUGGCUACAAAACAUGCAGCACAGGAUUAGACUUGAUGCUGAGCUGUGGUGGCCCAGGUGGGCAGUAAGCAAUUUUGGUCACUCACCUCAUGUUGGAGGCCAAGGGAGUACCAAAGCUGUCCUCUGAGCAGCAAGGGCUGUGCCGAGCACCCUUCCUUCGCCUCCCCCUCUCCUCCUCCCUCUCAGUCCAGGGGGCAUCUGUGGCUGAACUGGUCCCAGAGUCCGGCUCCAAGUGAGCCAGAGGAGCAAAGUUCUCCUCGAUCAGCUUCGCACUGUCUCGGAUCUGUCCCUGAACUUCUGGGGUGAGGGCUGGGAGAUCAAAAGUGAAAAAGGUCCCAUGAGUGCGGGCUGGGGAGGAGAGGAUGUCAAUGGAGUCCAGGCUGGUGUAAGAUGUGCCUUUGGCUCGAUGGGACUCCAUGAUGCUCUCAAAAUGCUUGCUGAAAGAGUCCAUGCCAUCCUUGGAGAGGCUGUGCCCUAGCAGGAAGGGCACUGGAGACUUGAGCAUGCCCUGUGUGUCUCGAUCCAUGAUCCUAGAGGGAAAGAAAGCAAGAGGAACUGGUCACUGAGGAGCAAGAGGUCGAAGCCCCAAACAAAAGCCCAUGCAUUGCUCCAGAAGGAAAGUGGGGAGGGCAGAAGUCUCCUCUGAACAUCUGAGUACACCAGGCCUCCAAAGGAAAUGCCUUGCCUACCCAAGACAGCAUGGGAAGAGGGCUGUGCUGGCCUCCCUCCAGCCAUAUGCCUCUCUUUUAAUGCGCCAUGGACUUUUGUUCCCUUAGUGGCUCAUCCUCCUAAGAAGCUUACGAGAUGGCUACUGCUCCCAGCCACUCGGCUUGAGCUUAGAUCCAAUAAACAGCUCAGGCACCAAAAACAGGAUGUAGUUCAGCUCCACUUCCAAACAAAUCCACAAGUGCCUGAAUUUUCCAUGAGCCUUCAGAGCUCCCGGCACCCACAGCACUCCUGGAGCCACCGAGGACAGCGUGACACUCCUCUGCAUAUGUGACACCACAGCCACUGAGCCAAGCCCGCCCUCAAGGUCAGCAUAAGCAGCAGCUCCCCACGUUUGUUUUGAAGGAGGAGGAAAGAGCAGGAUGGUCUGAUGGUAGUGAGAGCACCUCAAAGGGACCGGGCUGCCUUCAGACUGGCUGACCUCCUCCCUGCCGAAGCACUGUGCUCUCUGAGCCCUGCCAAACCUCUGGGCACGGAUCACCCUGCAGGAGGCUCAGCUUGUCUGCAGCAUGGCUCUGCGUCCAGCCCAGCGCAGGAGUUCCUACAUCUCGAACCCCUGAGCAUUUCAUCCUAGGGAUGAGCCUGCCCAUCAGUCUGAGCGUGUGACACAGGGAUAUUUCCAACACACUGUCAGCCCUUCAGUCCUAUAAGCCCAAACACAACCCUAAAAGCCUCUUUCACUCACAAGCUGCUAUCACUUUAUUAGAGCACCAAAAAAGCACUUGUUAUGCCAUUCUCUUUCCUGAUUAAAUGCGAAGAACUGAUCCAGCUUGUCAUAACAUUUGUUAUGAACAAACAGCUUCUUACAGAAGGCUCAGAAAAUGCAGCGCUGUUACAAGCACUGAGUGAUUUAUCAUUUAUUAGCCUUCAUAUCCUGCUCCAAAGUCUCACAGAUUAUUGCAGCGGGCUCUGAGCUGACAGCCUCACUGCACCAGAAUGUGGAGGGCUUCAGGGGGCACCCAGCGAGGUGGGUAAGUAGGGGACACACAUCCCAGAGACCGAUAACCGUGCUGCAUUACAUGCUGACAACUCAGCCAGCACUUCUGGGUACCGCGUGGGGCUGAGCAACCCGACCUCAGCAGCCACAUCAGCAGAGGGGAAGGGGCUCCCGUGUCCCCCAGCACAUCGGCAUCCACGUGCCGGUGUCCCAUCUGGGAAGGCUGCCCUAGCGGCAGACCCGAGGGCUGUGCCGGGCGAUGCUGUGCUCCCAGGGGGGACAGGGGCUCCUACCCGCAGCCAGCCCUCGCACACCGGGCAGCGGGGCACGGUGCUGCAGAGCCGGCUCUGGCUCACUCAGCAGCGCUGCCUCCGGCUUAGUGCCCCCCCGAGGACACUCGAGAAGGGGGAGAGGAGCCCGCUCUCGCUGACAGGUCUCUGCGCUCUGGGACUAAUGGGAAUAAAGACAGCAAAGGCUUAGACUGGUCAUUAGUCGUAGAGCCGGCUCUAAAUAUAUUCAGGGAGUGGAUUCUGGAAGAAGACACUGUUUCUUAUGUCACUUUCCACGUCUUGUUUGAUUUUGUAUCGGAUUUUUCAUCCCGAUGUCCUGUUGCACGGUCUCUUAUUUUAGGAGAGCAGAUGACAACGAAGGUACCCUUUGGCAAGAAUAUAAAGGGCAACAAAGUAGUGCUGAGCCAGCCUUCCCUGCGCAGAGGGUGCUAAAUCCCUAAGGCUAGAUUUUCAAAGGGAUUUACAUGUCUAAAUGCUGCAAAUCAGCAUCCGAUGGUGUCUCAACGAUUUUGCAGGGCUGCUCCUUCCCAUCUACCAGCAAAGCGCUCUGCAGAGAAGGACUGGCUGGGAUGGAAGCCUCUGGUUUGCAACAGCUCCUGCAGUGCAAAGCAGUGCCGGCUCUUGGAAGAUGGGGUGGCUUUUAAUGACCCCAGCAUCACCGCAUCGCCCCUCCUGUGAGCAGACAAAGCAGAAAGCUUGAAGCAGAAAACAUCAAUACUGGUGACUGGUAAACAGGAGGGAGGGCUGCAGCUGCAGAGCUCUCUCCGAAGCGGUGCGUAAGCAAAGCCCAGGCUGUGAUGCGGGCACUGAACCAACUCGCUAUUUCAGAGUGGUGAUUUUUGGCACUGCUGUCAGCAGGGUCUGUGCCUCGCUGGGAAUAGCCAGCGCUCUGUCUGCACAUCAAAAAAACCUGAAAGCCACCAGCCUACAAGGAAGCUGCAUGAAAUGAGCAGGACAGUGCCGGAUGCACCGCGGUAGUUAUGCCAGGAGCGCCGUGUUGAGGGCAGCGAUGCGCUGAGGCACACACCCGAGCUUUCUGGCCAUGCCUGGGGAACUCCAGCACGGUGUCCCAGAGGGCAAAAGGCUUACAGCCCAUGGAUGCGUAAUGGGCCCACAGGUGUUUGGAAAUUAAUUAUCACCUGGUAAAAGAAUUGUUACAGUAACUUGAAUAACUUGCUUGGAGUGAUAAUAUGACUUACAAAGCUUGUUCACAUUCUCUAUCACAAUUCAUUUGGGAAAAAAAUGCAUUUCCCUCCUGGGAAACCCGCAGGAUCCCAGCUGCCUGUGCAACGUGCACCUUCCCAUCCACAGCAGCCCACCUCACAUGCUUCUCCCUCCACUGCAGGGUACCACUGCAGGUUACUUCAUCAACUGUUCCCACUCCCAACACCAACCCCCCUUCUCCUUUUCUGAGCAUACUGCCAGGCAGCUCUCUGUCCCAGCACAGAGGAAUCACUCAGCUCCGCUCCCCAGCAUCACUUUCCCUUCACUGCAGAGCAUUUGCAGAUGAAGCAGAGGCUCUUGUCCCGUCCGAUGCCCAUCACUACCCUAGUACAGAGUAUUUUGCCACACAAGCAAGAAACAACACAAAACACAAAUCCUUUCAACCCGGUGACCCAUGGCACUGUACCCAGGUGCUGGGCUCAUAAGGUGACCUGAUCAUAGGACUCAUUCCCAGCAGAGUGGGUCCUGUGGUGCAGUGCUCUGCGCUGGACACCAGCACCACCCUGCUCCUUCCAUGGGGCAGCGAGGGACCCCCUCAGCCCUGUGGGACAAUGAAUAACCACUUCAACCACCUCCUGUGGCUCAGGCACAGCUACUGAGGGUUCUGGCUUGGGCUCUUGUUUGUCAGAGCCCCUUUGUCACGGAUGUGGGAUACCGAGGAGGGUGAGGGGAGUUCUCUGCCCUCCCACGCUGAACCUCACCUUUCCCUGCUCUCCUUCCUCGUGGCCUCAAACACCUCAUCGUCCUCAUCCGCAUCUCCAUCACGUAGUCCAUCCUUUGUGUGCUGGAUGCUGUGCUCAGGGUUCCCCUCAGGCAUGCUGUCUCUCCUGCCUGGGGUCCCUGCAAAGCUGGGGUUGCUCUCGCUGUCCUUCUGGCUUUCGAUAGCAGAAUCCACCUCAUCCCUCUCAGCCAGGAUGUCAUCAAUGUUGGUUUCGCGGUAGCAGCGCAGCGGCACGGUGUCCAGAUCUGUUUCGGAGUACUUCACAGCCCUCCUGAUGAUGCCCGUCUCACAGGAGCCCUGCUGCCUGCCACCUGCUGGGGACACCUCGAUCUCCACCUCCACGUGGCUCAGGCCAUGCUCGGGAAGUGAGCUGGGUGGCUCCACAGGCAGCGGGUGACUGGGCUGCAGUGGAGGCUCAGUGACGGGGGCUGAGGAGCCUGGAAGAAAGCCCAGAGCCCCUGUUCAAUCCCAAAUCCCAGCGGGUUGGGGCUCUGCAUACCCACAGUAUCCCUGCCUGAUGCCUUACCUGUUUUCGGGGCACCCAGUGAGCCAUAGAAAAACUCCCACUUGGCACGGGCGAUGCGCUGGGCAUGGGCUGAGCUCUGCCGGGGGCACGGCCAGGCACUGCCCUGCAAGGACACAGUGGUCAGUGGGGCCGGGCUGGAUGUAGUCCAGUGUGGGGCCACGGGCACCUACCUGGAGCCAGGGGCUGGUGGGGACGUCCCGUGGCGGGGCCUGCAGCCCGUUGGUGAGGGAACUGGAGAGGCAGCUGGUGGUGAGGGAAUGGGCAUCCCUUCUGCCUUCGUGGGGACGUGUCUCCCCCGGGGACCUGCAGCUGGCCAGGAGCGGGUCAGAUGCGGAGGCCUCCAGCUUCAGACUGCGGAGCAGCUGAUCCUGGGGCCGGGGCUGCCCAGGGGGCACACGCCAACCUCCGCCGGGCUCUGCGGGGCCAUUCUCCUGGGGCCCGCUGAGGGGCCGCACGCUGGCCUUCUCGAUGAAGCGGAAGGUGACGACGGAGCUGCGUCCCUCCGGGGCCACCAGUGGGCUGCGGCUGCCGGGCGAGGUGAGACCUGGGGCGGGAUGGCCCCUCCGUGGGGUGCAGGGGGCCGUCAGCCGCCCCCCACCCAGGCAGCCCCCGUUGCCAAAAGGCCCCAUCUCUGUUGGCUUGCGAGCCAAGGAGCCGGUGCUGUUGUAGAGGCCAGGUGGGCAGCGGCGGGUCUCAGGGGCCAGGCCCUUGCGCAUGAGGUGUAGGCGACCAGCGUUGAGGUUGGGGGUGAGGCAGCGUGGGGGGCUGUGCCGGCCUGGCUCAGGGCUGGAGGAGAUGGGUGGCCAGGGCCUGCGGUCCCCAUGGUGGGAGAAAGGCGGGGGCGAGGCGGUGCAGCCCUCGGCUGGGGGCAGGCGGACAAGGCCCCCCGCCUGCGCCAUGCUGACAGGGUGAGCACAGGUGUCAGGGCUGGAGCUGGACAGAGCGAGGCAUCCUCAGGCAGCCCUGGAGGGCAAGGAGAGGCGAUUAGAGAAGGGGAGCAAAGAUGGGGGAAUGCAGACAUCGUGAUGUUGCUUGAAAGUGGCUGUAGGUUGGAGACCGGCCUGAGCAUCUGGGGACAGGUGGCCUGAGAAGUGCUGCUGUCCCUGGCUCCCCUUGCUCCUCCAGCACUGUUCUACAGACCAGCAGCAUACAGAUGCAGGGGGAACACAUGCUGCGUGCAUUGAAAUUGGUUUCAUUUAGCCUGACUUAGGCUGAAUAGUUUACUACCUGUAGCCACCUAAUAUCCCUCCAUAAGGGGAAAAAAAAGAUAUAUGGGAUCGCUGAGAUAUCCCCAGACUGAAGGAAUUUGAUACCAGCAGCCCAAGGAAGAAGCCCAUCUCUUUUGGAGGUCAGUUUGUGUUUUAAAGUGUGUCACCCGUCACAUGCCGCAGCCGCAAUCUGUGGCACAGACAGAGCUGUCAGCACCGGCGGAUCCAAACAGAGGCAGCUGAGACAGCCCUGCCUGGGGGCCGAGCGCGCCUGAGCCAGCAGCACGGCUCGGGACGUUUCCCGUCGGGACACCCAUCACCCCAGGGCGGUGAGACAGCACGGGAUGGGAGGACACGGCGCCUGGCGGCCCUGCGGGCAGCACUGCCAGCUCUGCUCUCUCAGCACAGCUCACACUCGGACUCUUCCCCCAAGUCCUCUGAGCUGCCGGUGUGCAGGAAGGGCUUUUGAUUCCCCGUGAGUGCAGAGGUACCGAUUCCUGCACUUGCAUCUCAGCACUUGAAAGCAAAAACCCAAAUGUCAGCGGAGGAAAGCGUGUUUUCUUCUCCCAGCUUCUGAGAGCAAACCAAACAGGGUUAAACUGAAGGCCGCAGGACUGGAUUUUCAGCGGUGUUUAGGCUGAGGAGAUGCGGAGACAUAACUCUUAAUAAAAUAGCCAAAAUCACCCACAUGGGGCAGACGUCUCUAUCUGCACUACUACACUUGCAGAACACGUGGCUCCUACGGAGCAGCAAUCCAUAACCCACCGCCUGAACAAAACACUCUCCCGUUUAAGAUGUCGGUUACUGUUUUUAUACUCUUUUCUCCUGUUAUGGUUGUAUUCCCGUUCAAGGUUGCUUAACUGAUAAAUAACACCAAUGCUGGCUUAUA